GAUGAACGCUAGCUACAGGCUUAACACAUGCAAGUCGAGGGGAAACGACAUCGAAAGCUUGCUUUUGAUGGGCGUCGACCGGCGCACGGGUGAGUAACGCGUAUCCAACCUGCCCACCACUUGGGGAUAACCUUGCGAAAGUAAGACUAAUACCCAAUGACGUCUCUAGAAGACAUCUGAAAGAGAUUAAAGAUUUAUCGGUGAUGGAUGGGGAUGCGUCUGAUUAGCUUGUUGGCGGGGUAACGGCCCACCAAGGCGACGAUCAGUAGGGGUUCUGGGAGGAAGGUCCCCCACAUUGGAACUGAGACACGGUCCAAACUCCUACGGGAGGCAGCAGUGAGGAAUAUUGGUCAAUGGACGAGAGUCUGAACCAGCCAAGUAGCGUGCAGGAUGACGGCCCUAUGGGUUGUAAACUGCUUUUAUAAGGGAAUAAAGUGAGUCUCGUGAGACUUUUUGCAUGUACCUUAUGAAUAAGAACCGGCUAAUUCCGUG
This 492-nucleotide ribosomal RNA is filed under the name uncultured bacterium. RNAcentral describes it as "partial 16S ribosomal RNA". It matches the Rfam family "Bacterial small subunit ribosomal RNA", at positions 28 to 507 of the family's 1533-position model. The record is from RNAcentral.